CUAUACAUGACUCUGCGCAUAUCAAUAAGCGGAGGAAAAGAAACUAACAAGGAUUCCCCUAGUAACGGCGAGUGAAGCGGGAAGAGCUCAAAUUUGAAAUCUUAAAGGGUUUCCCUUUACGAAUUGUAGUUUAAAGAAGUGUUUUCUGUUGAGGUUUUGGUAAAAGUUCUUUGGAAUAGGACAUCAUAGAGGGUGAGAAUCCCGUAUUUGACCUUUACUUUCAACUUUGUGAUACACUUUCAAAGAGUCGGAUUGUUUGGGAAUGCAGUCCAAAAUGGGUGGUAAAUUUCAUCUAAAGCUAAAUAUUGGCGAGAGACCGAUAGCGAACAAGUACCGUGAGGGAAAGAUGAAAAGAACUUUGAAAAGAGAGUUAAACAGUACGUGAAAUUGUCAAAAGGGAAGCGUUUGACACCAGUGUUGUUUUUCUGAAAAUCAAUUAAAGAACUGUUUAUGCUAAGCUGUUUAGACUUUAUCAGCUAUCUGUUUAGUUUUGAGCUUUUCUUUAAUGCACUUUUCAGUUAACAAGUCAACAUCAAUUUCUUUUGCUGUAAAAAAGCUUGAGGAAGGUGGCUUGAGAUUCGUCUUAAGUGUUUAUAGCCUCUUGCCUAUGCAGUCGGAGAGAUUGAGGUCUGCAGCGUAGAUCCUUCGGGGCUAAAUGCAUUUGUGCUAAGCUUAUAGCAUUUUAUAGACAACUUGUUGACUAUGAUUUGUCUUGUAGCUUACUCGCUUAUGUUAUUUUACCUACGCUUAGGAUGUUGAUCUACAGAGCGAGAGU
RNAcentral lists this ribosomal RNA (775 nucleotides) under uncultured Neocallimastigales. Its description in RNAcentral is "partial large subunit ribosomal RNA". It matches the Rfam family "Eukaryotic large subunit ribosomal RNA", at positions 22 to 635 of the family's 3401-position model. The record is from RNAcentral. Lineage: Eukaryota; Fungi; Neocallimastigomycota; Neocallimastigomycetes; Neocallimastigales.